GACUUCUAAGGGACAAAAAGAAAGAAAAAAAGUUCAUGGGACAACUGAAAUGGUUGCCAUGAUGGGAACAGCUACAAUAUUAUGAAUCACAGAUUCCUUCCCUAUCAAGAACAUUCAGUGAGGCAUGGCAACGGUAUAUGACAUGUUGGCCAUGUGCUGGAGGAGCUCCUUCUUUGCCUGGCCAUCCAGUCAGGCAUCUCUCCCUCCCUCCCACCCACCCCAGGUAAGGAAAGAGUGGGGUUUCUCCCCUCUACUUCAGCCUCACCAUCUUCCUCAGGACCCUUUUUACGUGACCCAAGUAUAUAUGUAUAUUAGAAAAGUAAAAAACAAAACAAAUAUUAACUGAAAAUCAGGAUUUAGAAGGCUUGCUAAACAGUCUAGUUUUUCUUUUUGUGAAGUGCAGCUGAAGCAUUUGCUGAGGGGCUCUACACUGCCCUCCUCCUACUCCAAGGGCCAUCCUUUCCUAACAAUCACAGCUUGGGAAGGGGGCUGAGCUCAUGCCAGAGAAAGUAGGCACAGAGGCUGCCAGGUGGGUAGCUGAGAAGUGGCUCUAUGCUUUUUCUGCUGCUGCAUCUCUUCCUGAGAGUGUAUGCCUACAUGCCUCACUAUAUCCUCCCACUCCCCCGUUAAACAGGCGGCAGCUUCAGA
RNAcentral lists this long non-coding RNA (648 nucleotides) under Anolis carolinensis (green anole). Its description in RNAcentral is "lncRNA (ENSACAG00000030797.2)". The record is from RNAcentral. Lineage: Eukaryota; Metazoa; Chordata; Lepidosauria; Squamata; Anolidae.